This is a long non-coding RNA of Gigantopelta aegis, 227 nucleotides long. RefSeq lists it as uncharacterized. The record is from RefSeq and is a predicted model, not a curated record. NCBI's taxonomy places the organism in Eukaryota, Metazoa, Mollusca, Gastropoda, Neomphalida, Peltospiridae. The transcript is spliced from 2 exons.
UCUGAAGAAGGACGCCUCCCCCAUCUUGGCGUGUCCUCGGAUCCUGUGCAUGGUCCCUAACAACCAAUGCUCCGUGCCGCUGCAAAUAUCCAAGAUGACCUUCUUUGGGCAUGAAUGUGCCGGAUGCCCCUACUGCCCUACUGACCGUGUUUGAAACUGUUGUGGAGUGCAUGCUGAAGAAUGUUGUAUCUUAGUAGUCCAUCUUGAAAUAAAAGAUUGGUUGUCAA